UGGUAUCUUCCCAGACCAGGGAUCGAACCUGCAUCCCCUGCAUUGGCAGGUGGAUUCUUAUCCACUGCACCACCAGGGAAGCCCACAGCCUCCUUUCUUAAGCCACCUCUUCUCCCCACAGUCCCAUCAGUCCUCUCUCUAACCUUCCAGGACUGGUGUCUCUGCAAACUCUCCCCCCAUAAGACUGACCACCGCUCCCCACAGAGCACUGAAACCCAGCUCUACCUCCCAGACGGCCCCCUGGCCCAGGGCUCCUCUCUGAGAAGAAGACCACAGAGGGAGAGAUUUGGAUGAGGCGGCCCCAGCCAUGGGCCAGUCCCUAGGAGAGGCUGUGUGAAGUCAGACGCAGCAAACAUCUCCUGUUGUUGGGCACUGAUCUGGAAAAGAGCUGUGAUCAAAAUCAGAGCAGGACUCUUGUUCUUAGACCCCAGCUGCUAUGCCGCAAGGAAGUCCAGGCGCACAGCAGCAUAGGUGGAGGUGCAGUGCCCACAGCCAGCAUCUGACUGCCACCACGUAAGAGACCCGAAAAGAGAACAGUCCAUCCUGAGUCCGGUCAAACUCCAGAACCGUAAGAGAUAACGAUAAAAUGGUUGUUCCUGUUUCACACCACUAAGUCUUGGGGUGGUUGGAAAUACAGUAGUGACUGGGACAUAUUCUAUCACAGGCUCCAUCCUGCACCAUGAGUAGCCUAGGACUCAUGUGUGUUGGCACCCCCAGAACGUCUGUUCAAACUCUCUACACUCUCCCUAUGUCCUCUUGCACAACAGCACCACUGGCCAGCUCUCGGGAAGAUAAGGUGGGCAGAAACCAGUUCAGGUCUGGAAAGUGGGCCGGGGGCCUUGUAGGCAGGGGACCCAGAGUAUAGUCUAGAAUGGAGUGUGGCUUCUACUCCUGGUCCCAGUGGAGCAGGGAGGGCAGGACCAGAGUGAGGGCUUCUAAAGCCCAGCGCCCAGGCAGGGGCAGUACUGGCGGAGUACUUUAUAUCUACUGUCUCUUGUUCCUCCCCCAGCCCUGCCCCACUGGGCUCAUUGUCUUCGUUGCCCACAAGAACACAGAGGCUCACAGAAAGUCAGCCACAGGGCACAGGCACACCAGUAGCAGCCAAGGUCACAUGGUGGCCUUUGUCAUACCACAUGGCCCCCAAGGCCCUCCUUGGCUCCAAGACACUUGAUGAGCAUUUCUCAGACAUACAGUCUACCUACCUCUGUUUAAAAACCAAACAAAACUGUACCCACUUUAGACUAAAACGGGAGGCCCGAGGAGCCUGAAAUAGGAGAACCCAGCCUUGACCGUGGGGGAUGAGGCCGGAACUCAGAGCGCUGGAGGCGUCCAGCUGCCGUCCAUCCAGGAGCCCAGUCCUGUUGGAGGUCACCAAACCAGCUGGUGGAGACUCAUUUAUCUCUGUAGCUCCCCACCAAAGGACCUCUUUAUCAGCCCAGUCUUUAAACCCGAUGUCCACCCCAAGGAGUGUCUUUUAAAACCGUUUGGCCUUGAGAAAGGCAGUCUGCCCCUUAUCUCUCUGUUUUGUUCUGUGUUGGCUUCCUGGUGGGUUAUCGGGGGAGGCUUUGGUUUCUCCGUCUCCUGUUAUCUCCCUGCUGGCUUUCAAGGCUGCCCUCUCAGCAGCUCCUGGCCUGAGCUGGUGCCUUACCCUGCAGAGACUAGAGAACUGGCGGGGCAGGAGCCUUCCCGCCGGUCCUUCCUGAAUCCCAACUCCUGGAACUUGUCUGCCCCUUGUCCAGCUGCGCGCUCAGCAAGGCUGGCUGUGUGUCACUUGUGGCUUCUCCAGGGACAUAUGACAUCAAGAGGGCAAACCCCAUGGAGCCUAGAUUUGGGGAGUUCACAGAGCAGCCACUUUUAGUUUUUUUAGGAAAACCAAUGUAGGCUUCUCACUUCACUUUUGUAUGUUUAUUUAUUUGCCAAAUACAUUACAAAAAGUAACUUCUAUUUCUUAAGACAGGAUGAGGGGGAUUCCCUGGUGGUCCAGUGGUUAGGAGUCUGCGCUCUCACUGCCAAGAGGGCCCGGGUUCAAUCCCUGGUCGGGGAACUAGGAUCCUGCAAGCCAUGCAGCGUAGCCAAAAAACAAACAAAAAACACCGCCCAAUAAUGUCAGAUUAAAAUGAUGGUGUCCCCCCACUCCCAGCCCUAUCCUCUGACAAGAAAGGAUGCUGGCAGCCUCAUAUAAUCCCUGAGGCCUGGGAAAACCUUGUCUGGGUUGCAUCAGCUCCUGGAUAGGUAUUAAGACCCAGAUCUGAGGAAACAAGGCUCUGGGAAUUCCACAGAGCUGCCAGGUCCUUGUACACACAGGGCUGUUUCAUGGCCUGCAUAGCACCCUUGCCUGCGAUGCACCCCCAUCCCCUCCCUCACACUCACACUCAUGCUUCAGACACAGCCCAGGUGUCUCCUCCUCUAAGUAAGGCCUGCACUGUGGGUGUAGGAUGUGUGCGGUCACACAGGCCCUGUGCUGAGAAGGGCCCAGUGCUUGGUUUUAUGCUCUGCCAUCGCCAUCUCAAAAUCUGAGCAAAGGGCCUUGCAUUUUCAUUUUGCAUGGGGCCAUACAGGUUAUGUAGCCAGUCCUGCUUCCAUAACAUCUUUCUGAUGUCAUCUCUCACCCUGAGCUGAAUCUGGGGCCUCCACUGCACUCAGACAGUCCCUCUGCUCACUCCCCGAUCACUCUACGCUGAAAGCCCUACUCACUUAUCUGUCUCCCCACUAGACGCUGAACCCCCUGAGGGCUGGGGCAGAGUCUAUGUGAGUCCCACACCAUACUUAGUACAUGGCAGGUACUCAGUAAAUGUGUGUUAACAUAAAUAGUCGAGGGGAAGGCUUGGCCCAGUUCCUUAUGUGAUUCUGGCUAGAGCUGGGCUUUGACCCACUUCUCCUGCUUUGGGGCCAAGACAAUCUUCCCUGCCCUCUUGCUCUCCUGACCAGUGGCCAAAGGCCAAAACCAACCCAGACCAAAGCCAAACAUAAACUUGUUUUUCUGACCUAGGACCCAAAUUAAUGUAUUUUGUUUUUUCCGAAAGGUACUCACCAUUUUCUAGAAGAGUUAAAGCCAACUAAUCCAGACCAUCAGAACACCCUCAGCUCUCCAGUGCUGGGUGGAGUAGAGUCAGAGUGAGGACCCAAAUACCACCCAAAGAGAACUAAGACCCCUGCUGGGCCAUAAGGGACUCAAACUAGGUCCCAGAUAUGAGGAACCAGUAAGCUGUGAACAAGGGGAGUGGCAAGUGCUGAGGCUAGAUUAUACAGGAGCAAAAAACCCGAAGGGUAUGGCUUAUACCAGUUCUGCCAAAUCCACCAUGCAAUCCCCUUACAGCCUUUCAUUCAUUCGUUCAUUCAUUCAUUCAACCACUCACGCAGGGGAUGUCUAGUGAGGAAGACUGACAGAUUCCAAUCUUUUUAAUGCUUAGGUUCCAAUCUUCUUUGGAACAAAGCAGAGUCUAUAAAUAAUAUGGGGGAAACAAGCCAUUGGUCCCCACCUGGCUCUCUGCACUGGACAGAGGUUCCACAGACGCACCUCCUGGGCUUUUGCUGUCUUUAAAGGCAGCCCUCUUCUUGCUCUGGGACCCAGGCCCAAGCCAGUGGUUAUCUGAGCAUGCAACAGGCAGCACUGUGCUGUGCGCUGAACUUCCCCAACUUCCCCAGGGCCCCUCUCUCCUCCCUUAGCUGAGUUCUCACCCAGCUGCUCUAGGCCCCAUCUGAUUGGACCCUAGUGGAAGCCAGACCCAGAGCCACAAGGUCUCCUCUGCCUGCCCUGGAGGCCUGGGAGGUAGAACUGACCAUGCCUCCCCUCAACAAAUAUUUAAACACCCUCUGGGUGCCCAGCUCUGGGCUCAGGAGGGUGUAUCCAGCCCCAGGAGGGAAGGGAUCUGGUCUGCUUUCUAGAGCUCUGGUCCCCAUUGUGGGCACCCGAGAAAGAGGUGUUGAAGGAAUGAAUGGCCAGGCCUGGGCAGACUAACUUCUGGACAAAGUUGGGGCACAGAUGAUCAGUGCUUGGCUGGUCAGAGAGGGAAGAAGUCAGGAGUGUGGGAGAGGUGAAAAUAAAACGUUUCUAUUCUCUAAAUUCAAGAAAAGAAAAGACUUCUGGGGCCAAGCCCUAAGCCACGAACAGAUCCAUUUUAAACCUGGCAGAACCAUUGACAGCCUUACGGCAGUACGCUGAGAGCCAACCAAUCAGUGGUGGUCUCAUUCCAGUGACCACGCUUCUGAGAGCCAGCCAAUCAGCAACAGCCUUAUUCCCCAGCGCUACCGCUUCUGAAAGGCAACCAAUUCCUAAACUUUAAGGUUGAAAGUCAGCCAGUCUGCAAACAGUCUGGCUUCUGAAAGUCAGCCAAUUGCUGAACAGAAUGCUUUCCAUACCCUGUGUAAGAUCAGCUCUUGCGUUGCACAGAUUUUGUGCUUUCAUAGCAAGUACAGUUUUGUUUUUUUCUUUUUGCAAGUAAUAAAUACAGCUUCAUUGUUUCAUAUACGUAUGGGGUGGCCGGGGGAGACUUGCACUCAGAACACGUGUCCCAGUGUGACCGGCGGUUUCUGGGCCUCUGGGCCACUUCUCCAUAAUCCUGUCCUCUUCUUUCCCCAGUGAUGUCUUGAGAACUGGGGAGAGGGAGUGUGUGUAUGGGGUAUCUUCACAAGAUCCUCUGUGGGACCCCACAGGUGGGGGAGCCGGGCUCAGCCUAAGGGAGAUGCACGGGCAGACACAGCCCAGCUCUCCCAGGGCUGCUUUGAAAGGGACACUGAUGGAUGGGGAGAUGACAUCACAUCUGAUUGGAGUGACAUGGUCUGAUGGAGAAGGCAGGACACCUAAGAGCAAUCAGCAAAACAACUCUGGAUCUCCCAAGUCUCACUCAGCCAGGCCCCUCUUCCUGGCCCAGGAGACAGGUGAAAGCAGGACUGGCGUCCAAAGGUCAUCUCUGCCCAGCAUCAGACCAAAGCACCACAGUCCCCUCAGGCUCUUCAGGGCUGGGCCUUACCUCCCUCUAGUGCCUCUUGGACCCAGGUGAGUGAUGGGUUUUCCUUCUCAAGGCCCAGACCUGCUUGCUGCUCAGGUGAGGCGUCUGGGGUUGAACCAAUAGACCUUGCCCCUCCCGUGCUGCUCACCUCUCCCAGAGAGAACUGCUUCACAACCAGGCACAGGAAGGGCGAGGCUGUGUCUGGGCACCCAUGGAUGGGCACCGAUAGGGAAUGGGGUUCAGUGACACUGCACAGGGGAGGUGGUGGGGGCCAGAAGGGAUCUUCCUGAGCCCUGGGAUUCUAUAAGUGGGGCUGCUCUGGGUGUGAGAUGCAGGGGCCUAUUCAGAUGAGAUGCAAAUCAACCCUGCGGUGCCCCAGCCCAUCCCAGGGCCACCCUUCACCUUCCUCCUGCCUGACUGUUGCAGGGAAGCCGAGCUGGGGCUGAGCAGUCACUAAGGGGGCUGGGACCCUCAGCUUCACGCCGGGAGAGGUUCUUUCCCUCCUGCAGCCUCAGUUUGCCCACUUGAAUUAUGUCUAAGAGCUUGUUUCAAGUGAACUGAGGUCUAGGAGGCUGUCCAGCCAGGACUGGGUUGGGGUGGAGUAGGGGAUGGGGAGGUCUUGGAGGCCAGAGAAAGUAGGAAGCCAUCUUGGCCUUGAGGUGUAACAUCCCAGCAAUGUGGCCAGCCAACUUCUGGCUCAAGGGUGAGAGGCGAUGAGCCUGAGGGUGGUCCGUGAGGGUGGAGACAGCUUGUGCUAUUGAUAUGCAAAGGUCAGGAUGGUGGACGCUGUAUACUCCAAGUGUAGGCAAUAAGCGGGGAGGGGGAUGUAUGCAGAGAACUUUAAAACAGUAACAGAAUAAAGUCUAUCCGCCUUUUAUUCUCCCAUGUGCUGGCAGUCCUAAACCCUGUCAGUGGCAAAAUACUCCCCUCUGAAAGUCUUCUGUUAGUUGAUGUUCUAAACAAUUAUUCCAAUUACUGUAAUUUUUAUAAUAAAUAAGCUUCACAUUACCACUUUUACUGCAUAUUCAUGAAUAAAUGUUGGGUUCUACAGGAAAGCUCACUCAGAGAAUUCCCUGUUACACACAGGCCAGCCAAGCUCCAAGCACAGUUUCAUUUGUCAUUCCUCACCGGGCCACCCCAUCUCCAGUCCCUGCAGCACAAAUUCCUGCAUUUAAACAGUGGAUUCUUAAUAAGCAAGGACAGCACAGUGAUUGUAAACUUGAGGGUUCUGUUUCCAUUCUGCCACGCUGUGUGACAGCUUGGAGGUUUUAUUUGUGAAAUUAGAGCCAAGUAGGAGGUGUAAUAUUUUUGUUUGAUAAAUGCAAAGGAGGGAAGUGUUAAAGAACGGUCCACCACGAGUCAAAUGUGCUCAGUACGCCGCUGGCUCGUGCAGCUCUGCAGAGGGGGGACCAGGCAAGUUCUCUACCCUGGGGGACCUUGACGUCAUGGGGCAGGCUGCCUAAUCUGCAUAUCUAUCCGACCUACAGCCAAAUGUGAAGGGGUUGCAGAACCAGCAUAUAUUCGCUAAACCUGUCAAGUAGCCACAUCCCUCGUAGAGGGAUGGCCUGGGGACUUUUGCAGCCCAGCAGUAGUGCCCCCUCCCCCACCCCAGCUUUAUUCACCUGUGGAUGAAGUUCCCUAGUGUAGCCUGCAGCCACCCCAUUGCCCCAGGUGGGAGGGGCGGAGGAUGGAAUGGCUCCAGCUUAGCCCUGAGCAAGCUCUGAUAAGGAGCAGAGGCCACCAGUGCCCCAGUCCUCAGCCAGGGACAAGAGUCUGGAAGGUGUCCUGAAAACCGACAGGUGCCCUCCAACCUAGGCCUGCAUCUCCCAUCCUCCCCACCCUCUCUCCUGUAAUGAGUGGAGGGGUACAAAAUCUACCACUGUGUCCUAAGGAUUAUUUUGAGCUGAAGAUAUUUGAGAAUCAACAGAUGCAGGAGGAGGCCUUUCUCUGAACUUCCCCUUAUCUGCCUAAAAGCAGAGCCUCCCAAAAGAAUUCACAUGUCAUAAAUUCCCUCCUGGGAGUUUCACAACCAGAGAAGACGGACUCCGGUCACCUGAGACCCGGAUAAGAAUUCACCUAAACAGACCUUAUCACAACACCUCUCACAUCUCCCAGCUAUUCUCCUAAGGACCCACUUAUCUUUCCUAAAAGCUGUUUGUUUUCCCAUAAGUGCCCUUUCUCCUCUUUCCCUAUUAAGGUGGUAUAUAAUAUCUGAUAAGGGGUUAAUAUCCAAAAUAUACAAAGAACUCAUACAACCCAAAGCAAACGGAAAAUACCAAACAGUCCAAUUUAAAAAUGGUCAGAAGAACUGAAUAGACAUUUUCCCAGAAAAGACAUACAAAUGGCCAAAAGGUACAUGAGAAGGUGCUUGGACAUCACUGAUCUUCAGGGAAAUGCAAAUCCAAAUCACAAUGAGAUAUCACCUCACAGUUGUUAGAAGGGCUGUCAUCAAAAAGACAAGAAAUAGGGCUUCCCUGG
This is a long non-coding RNA of Aethalodelphis obliquidens (Pacific white-sided dolphin), 7427 nucleotides long. RefSeq lists it as uncharacterized. The record is from RefSeq and is a predicted model, not a curated record. NCBI's taxonomy places the organism in Eukaryota, Metazoa, Chordata, Mammalia, Artiodactyla, Delphinidae. The transcript has 4 exons.